RNAcentral lists this transfer RNA (73 nucleotides) under SAR86 cluster bacterium SAR86E. It matches the Rfam family "tRNA". Rfam says of the family: Transfer RNA (tRNA) molecules are approximately 80 nucleotides in length. Their secondary structure includes four short double-helical elements and three loops (D, anti-codon, and T loops). Lineage: Bacteria; Pseudomonadati; Pseudomonadota; Gammaproteobacteria. RNAcentral also lists the same sequence under 1 other name. The record is from Rfam by way of RNAcentral.
GCCCAGAUAGCUCAGUCGGUAGAGCAAAGGACUGAAAAUCCUUGUGUCGGUGGUUCGAUUCCACCUCUGGGCA